Monodelphis domestica (gray short-tailed opossum) is the source of this 129-nucleotide small nuclear RNA. The record is from Ensembl. NCBI's taxonomy places the organism in Eukaryota, Metazoa, Chordata, Mammalia, Didelphimorphia, Didelphidae.
AUACUGUAUGAAAGGAGGGAAGGCUAUCAUUCCCCUUACUAAGGAUGAAGGAAGUCCUAGGGUGCCUUUACAACACAUUUAAUAUGUUAAUGUAUUGUCACUCACUCUGGAACCUAAUGAUAUUCUUUU